AGGACGAACGCUGGCGGCGCGCUUAAUACAUGCAAGUCGAGCGAGAACCGGACCUUCGGGUCCGGGGAAAGCGGCGAACGGGUGAGUAACACGUGGGUAAUCUGCCCUCGGUACUGGGAUAGCCCGGGGAAACCCGGAUUAAUACCGGAUAGCCUUUCGAGCUCUCGGGCUCGUUAGAAAAUGGUGGCUUCGGCUUCCGACUGAGGAUGAGCCCGCGGCGGAUUAGCUUGUUGUGAGGUAAUGGCUCACCAAGGCUCCGAUCCGUAGCUGGUCUGAGAGGACGAUCAGCCACACUGGGACUGAGACACGGCCCAGACUCCUACGGGAGGCAGCAGUAGGGAAUCUUGCGC
RNAcentral lists this ribosomal RNA (350 nucleotides) under uncultured soil bacterium. Its description in RNAcentral is "bacterial SSU rRNA". It matches the Rfam family "Bacterial small subunit ribosomal RNA", at positions 26 to 369 of the family's 1533-position model. The record is from RNAcentral.